AAUUAAUAGUAAAUCCAUAUAUAUAAGUUCUGAUGGUCCUUUACUUCAUCUCUGACAAUAUCACUUACCUGCAAUCUCUCCCUCACGCACAUGGCUACUGCUGCUGUAGCCAGAAAUUUCCUUGCACGUUUCAUGGAUUUAGACUCCGCCAAAUGCAGCAUUUCUGCUCAACUAAUUUCCAGUAGGCAGUCACUUCAUACUUUCCAUCGUAAAUAUCAGUAUUGUUCUCUAUCCAUGAAUGGGUGCCAGGGUGACCCAAAACUCCCUAUUGGUACAAUGGAAACGAAAACAUUUCCAGCAGUAGCAUCUCCUGGUUUGGCCUUAGACAGCCUCAAUUUCGCCAUUUCUGAUUUGAAAUCCAAUCCACCACUUUUCACUUCAGGGAUUAUACGUCUUCAGGUACCAAUUCAACAGCGAAUUGAAGCAAUUGAUUGGCUCCAUGCUCAACAUCAUCUUCUUCCACGCUGCUUCUUCUCUGGUAGAAGCCGAAGGAAAGAUGAAUUUCAUCUUUGCAAUGGAAAUGGCCAUGGCGGCCAUGCCCACAAUUUGGUUAGCGUUGCAGGUGUAGGCUCUGCGGUCCUCUUUAGGCAUAUCCAUCCAUUCUCCUACAAUGACUGGAAGUCGAUUAAGAGGUUUUUAUCCGCUAAAUGUCCUUUAAUUCGUGCUUAUGGAGCAAUCCGGUUCGAUGCCAGGGCUAACAUAUCAUCUGAGUGGGAGGCUUUUGGUUCAUUUUACUUCAUUGUUCCUCAUGUUGAGUUUGAUGAGUUUGAAGGAAGUUCGAUGCUUGCUGCUACUAUUGCCUGGGAUAAUGCCCUCUCUUGGACAUGGGGGCAGGCCAUUGAUGCACUUCGACUUACCAUGACUCAGGUUUCUUCUGUUAUUGUAAAAUUGCAAAAAGAAGUCGCUGGGACAUUUAUAUUAAGUAAUAAUCACAUUCCCAAUAAGACCUACUGGGAUCGUGCAGUGAAGAGAGCUUUGCAGAUAAUCAGUAGAAGCAGCUCACCACUCAUUAAGGUUGUACUUGCACGUAGCAGCAAAGUUGUAACUGCUACUGACAUUGAUCCUAUAACAUGGUUGGCUUGUCUACAGGUUGAAGGAGAAAAUGCUUAUCAAUUUUGUCUUCAGCCACCUAAUUCUCCAGCCUUUAUUGGGAACACGCCAGAGCAACUAUUUCACAGAAAACGGCUAGAAGUAAGUAGUGAGGCAUUGGCAGGAACCCGUGCUAGAGGCGAAUCAAAGGCUCUAGAUCUCCAGAUAGAACUCGAUUUACUUUCCAGCCGUAAGGACCAUCUUGAGUUCACCAUAGUACGAGACAGCGUAAGAAGAAAAUUAGAGGCUGUAUGUAACAAAGUGUUAGUUCAACCAAAUAUAGUAAUACGGAAAUUCCCCAGAGUUCAACAUUUGUAUGCCCAGUUGGCAGGAAAAUUAAGAAGUGAAGAUGAUGAGUUUGAUAUCCUUUCUUCUCUUCACCCAACUCCAGCAGUUUGUGGAUUUCCAACGGAAGAGGCAAGAGUAUUAAUUGCAGAAACUGGUUUGUACAUAAGUUUUUGAUCGAGGGAUGUAUGCUGGGCCUGUUGGUUGGUUUGGAGGAGGAGAGAGUGAGUUUGCUGUUGGCAUCAGAUCAGCAUUGGUAGAAAAGGGUCUUGGUGCAAUGAUCUAUGCUGGGACUGGAAUAGUAGAAGGAAGCAAUCCAUCUUUAGAAUGGGAUGAACUAGAACUGAAGACAUCUCAGUUCACCAAGUUGCUUAAACUUGAGGUCCCAUCAAAGCAAAAAAUUGAAGAUUUGGGGAGAAUCAACUGAAAAGAUUAGUUUUCUUGACAAGGAUUAAUAGUUUGUAUUAUCAGUAGAAGAAUGUCCAUUAAUUGUUGGCUUCUACUGGUAAACAUUACACUGAUGAUUUGGUGGAAUUGCUCUUCAUAGUUUGUUUCCACAAGACUUGUUUGGAGAGCGUGCAUUUGCAAGCAAAUUCUGAAGUGGGUAUAAAUUUCACAAUCACAAUUUUGGAGCCCAUAUUUCUGCAUAACCAGUUUUCAGUGCAAACUGGCAAUCACUCUCAAACAGGUUACUGGAUUUUGGAAGUGAAUGGAGCACAACAGAAACAACUGAUAGCAGAAAAAAUAUGCCAUAUCAAAAGCAACAUUCUUUUUCCACAGAAUAAGGUAUUGGCUGCAAAUUGAUAAUGCUUUGUUCUGUCAUUAUAAAUAUAUAUUCACACCUGCUCAGUCUCAUUCAACAUUUUUUUUUUUUUAAUCUUAUUGGUUGACAGUACAGCAAUAUAUAAUUGUUUCUUUCUACAAUUUAGUAAGUGCUUUUCCGAUUUUUCUGCGCAGUGCAGACUUCAUCA
Jatropha curcas is the source of this 2345-nucleotide RNA transcript. It is a transcript of the gene named ADC synthase superfamily protein, with no coding region annotated. The record is from RefSeq and is a predicted model, not a curated record. Lineage: Eukaryota; Viridiplantae; Streptophyta; Magnoliopsida; Malpighiales; Euphorbiaceae.